This 2113-nucleotide long non-coding RNA is filed under the name Bemisia tabaci. RNAcentral describes it as "lncRNA ENSSSA1NGG006875". Lineage: Eukaryota; Metazoa; Arthropoda; Insecta; Hemiptera; Aleyrodidae. The record is from RNAcentral.
AAGAAUCCAAUUUAAAAUCAUGGUUAGCAGGCCAUACACAAAUUAUGAUUGCAACCUCCGCCUUUUCAAUGGGUGUAGACAAUCAAAAGGCAAGUUUUGUCUUUCAUAUAGGGUUACCAGAUUGAUCUCACGCCUUCUUGUCCAACAAUUCAGCGUUGGCGACAACGGUUUUCCAACGUCAUGAUCGAAAUUCCAGCCCGCCUCCGACAAUUCAUACCAGACCGGAGACCUGCUCUGGUCUACCCCUCGGAGCCUCUAGUGUUGGGUCCCUUCGAAGAUACCCCUCAGGCACGCGCAGAGAGGGAGUUGCGUGCUGCUAGGUGGCCGAUCUUCGACCCACCAUAUGAGGUCAUUAAUUGGGAGGGCGAUAUUCGUCCUCUCCCCACAUAUGAUGCUUGGGUCGAUUCAGAGGCUUUGAAGGCUCAAGCAGACGCGAGAAAAAAGGCGGAAAUUUUGGAUAAGCAACAAGACGAAGCGACUCAGCAGCAUGAGAAUUACACUUACCAACUGGCUGUUCGACUCGCUGAACAGGCAGAGAGGCGAAAGCGACAGUAUAAUCAAGAAGUCACACAGUACCAUCAACUUCAUCAACGGCCAGAGAGCAGACGAGAAUUCGAUCUGAACGACCCCGAUUACCUCAGGAAAUCAAAGCCGGCAAGAACGUCCGAUGAUGACCCGACUUUGACAAUAUCAUCUGCACAAAGUGAGUGUAUGAUUAAAUAUUUAUACUUCGCCUUUGACUCAAACAUCGUCCUGCGACCUCACUUGCAUCUCCUUCGGAAAGGCAGUCUCAAGGCUUCCGAAUUCCGGGCAUUAUGCCUCUUGAAGUCCCGGGCUAAAUUUCACCUCAGGAUAUUAUGGUUUCUUCUUCACCACAGGGGCUGAGAGGGAAUUCGCAUGUCAUGUUUGGUCCUUUCAGGAGAACACGCAUUAAAGAAAAAAAUAUAACGAACCCAUGGGCGUAGCUAGGGGGGUCCUGCCCCCCCCCCCCCUAGAAAAACGGAGACACAAACUCGGACAACAUGUGACCGGCCACGCGGCACACAGCAAAAUAUUCUGCGAAGAAUCAAGUCGUGGCUUCGUUCUACGACCGGUCAAUCAAGAUUUUCAAAUCUUGCUAUUCUUCACAUAGGAAAGCUAGUUUUCACAGAAAAGGUUCCCGCUGCUGCUAUCAUCGAAGAUUUUUGUCGUAAGAAGAGAAAAUUCAUGUAAUCCAAAUUUUGCCACUUGUCAUCGCUUCCACUCAAUUACAUGCAAGUAGCGAAGUUUUUUUUUUGUAAAAUUACCAUAUCAAUUUCAGCUUUCUUCUUUAUGCUACAUUUAUACGUGACUGUUGUUUUUUUCGAGUGUAUAAAGUCUAAAGACAAAGAACCAACUUGAUCAUGAAGUCUGUGCUAUUACCUCCUGACCCAAAUUAUCCCUCUAAGUAUUCUACAAAAAUGAAAUGUCAUGAAAAACAUGUUAUUUUUAUUUUAAAAACAAAUCCGGUUGCGGGGGGGGGGGGCGUUACCUCUUAAGCUUGGGAUCCUCACCCCCCCCCCCCGCCUCUCUUCACCACGAGAGGAGAGGUGGUCCCAUGCCCCCCCCCCCCCCCAGAGAAAUUUCCUAGCUACGCCCCUGAACAAACCGCAAGAAAGACACCCUAGGGAAGAAGAUGAAUUGGUUACAUUUCCGCCAAAUACAAUUGAGGAAAGAGAAAUCCCACUCGAUACUCGUUUGCGAAAAUUUCUCCGGCCCUUUUAAAGAAAUUAACAUCGAAAAGAAGAGCCCUAAUUUUCCAGACCUAGUUUCUUCUCGCCCACCGCGAUUCUUAAAAUUGAGAUAACCAGCAGCUGCGCAAAGUUACACGUCUAAAUGGCGCAUGCAACUCGUCUAAGUAAUUAUGUCCAAAUGUGCGCGUGACACAGCUAUGUCUGGACGAAUGACGCUGUUAUUUUAUAAGUUGGUACCAUAGCUUUCCCUCUACUUAAACCCAUUAAAAAUAUCGGUUUUGGGUGAGGCAAGCUGCUUUGUCAAGAAUCGAUUAUUUUACAAACAUCGAUGGCGACUUUCAAGAAUCGCCACUGAACUUGUCCUGGUAAAUCCAUCCAAUCGUUCUCAGAUGAAGGUUUAC